RNAcentral lists this ribosomal RNA (812 nucleotides) under uncultured Acinetobacter sp. RNAcentral describes it as "bacterial SSU rRNA". It matches the Rfam family "Bacterial small subunit ribosomal RNA", at positions 59 to 865 of the family's 1533-position model. Lineage: Bacteria; Pseudomonadati; Pseudomonadota; Gammaproteobacteria; Moraxellales; Moraxellaceae. The record is from RNAcentral.
AAGUCGAGCGGGGGAGGUUGCUUCGGUAACUGACCUAGCGGCGGACGGGUGAGUAAUGCUUAGGAAUCUGCCUAUUAGUGGGGGACAACAUUCCGAAAGGAAUGCUAAUACCGCAUACGCCCUACGGGGGAAAGCAGGGGAUCUUCGGACCUUGCGCUAAUAGAUGAGCCUAAGUCGGAUUAGCUAGUUGGUGGGGUAAAGGCCUACCAAGGCGACGAUCUGUAGCGGGUCUGAGAGGAUGAUCCGCCACACUGGGACUGAGACACGGCCCAGACUCCUACGGGAGGCAGCAGUGGGGAAUAUUGGACAAUGGGCGCAAGCCUGAUCCAGCCAUGCCGCGUGUGUGAAGAAGGCCUUUUGGUUGUAAAGCACUUUAAGCGAGGAGGAGGCUCCUUUAGUUAAUACCUAAAGUGAGUGGACGUUACUCGCAGAAUAAGCACCGGCUAACUCUGUGCCAGCAGCCGCGGUAAUACAGAGGGUGCGAGCGUUAAUCGGAUUUACUGGGCGUAAAGCGUGCGUAGGCGGCUUUUUAAGUCGGAUGUGAAAUCCCUGAGCUUAACUUAGGAAUUGCAUUCGAUACUGGAAAGCUAGAGUAUGGGAGAGGAUGGUAGAAUUCCAGGUGUAGCGGUGAAAUGCGUAGAGAUCUGGAGGAAUACCGAUGGCGAAGGCAGCCAUCUGGCCUAAUACUGACGCUGAGGUACGAAAGCAUGGGGAGCAAACAGGAUUAGAUACCCUGGUAGUCCAUGCCGUAAACGAUGUCUACUAGCCGUUGGGGCCUUUGAGGCUUUAGUGGCGCAGCUAACGCGAUAAGU